Molecule: ribosomal RNA, 253 nt
Filed under: uncultured bacterium
Lineage: Bacteria
Description: partial 16S ribosomal RNA
Rfam family: Bacterial small subunit ribosomal RNA
Source: RNAcentral
AACGUAGGAGACAAGCGUUAUCCGGAAUUACUGGGCGUAAAGCGCGAGUAGGCGGAUCAGCAAGUCCUUUGUGAAAGCUUCUGGCUAAACUGGAAGAGGUCGAAGGAUACUGCCGGUCUAGAGUGGGGUAGAGGGACACGGAAUUCCGGGUGUAGUGGUGAAAUGCGUAGAGAUCCGGAGGAACACCAGUGGCGAAGGCGGUGUCCUAGGCCUCAACUGACGCUAAGGCGCGAAAGCAUGGGGAGCGAACGGG